Molecule: ribosomal RNA, 497 nt
Filed under: uncultured bacterium
Lineage: Bacteria
Description: partial 16S ribosomal RNA
Rfam family: Bacterial small subunit ribosomal RNA
Source: RNAcentral
GAUGAACGCUGGCGGCGUGCCUAAUACAUGCAAGUCGAGCGAACGGACGAGAAGCUUGCUUUUCUGAUGUUAGCGGCGGACGGGUGAGUAACACGUGGAUAACCUACCUAUAAGACUGGGAUAACUUCGGGAAACCGGAGCUAAUACCGGAUAAUAUUUUGAACCGCAUGGUUCAAAAGUGAAAGACGGUCUUGCUGUCACUUAUAGAUGGAUCCGCGCUGCAUUAGCUAGUUGGUAAGGUAACGGCUUACCAAGGCAACGAUGCAUAGCCGACCUGAGAGGGUGAUCGGCCACACUGGAACUGAGACACGGUCCAGACUCCUACGGGAGGCAGCAGUAGGGAAUCUUCCGCAAUGGGCGAAAGCCUGACGGAGCAACGCCGCGUGAGUGAUGAAGGUCUGCGGAUCGUAAAACUCUGGUAUUAGGGAAGAACAUAUGUGUAAGUAACUGUGCACAUCUUGACGGUACCUAAUCAGAAAGCCACGGCUAACUACGUG